RNAcentral lists this ribosomal RNA (443 nucleotides) under uncultured bacterium. RNAcentral's name for it is "partial 16S ribosomal RNA". It matches the Rfam family "Bacterial small subunit ribosomal RNA", at positions 338 to 795 of the family's 1533-position model. The record is from RNAcentral.
CCUACGGGAGGCAGCAGUGGGGAAUAUUGGACAAUGGGGGGAACCCUGAUCCAGCGACGCCGCGUGAGUGAAGAAGUAUUUCGGUACGUAAAGCUCUAUCAGCAGGGAAGAAAGAAAUGAUGGUAGCUGACUAAGCAGCCGCGGCCAACUACGUGCCAGCCGCCGCGGUAAUACGUAGGGGGCAAGCGUGAGCCGGAUUUACUGGGUGUAAAGGGAGCGUAGACGGCGAUGCAAGUCUGAAGUGAAAGGCGGGGGCCCAACCCCCGGACUGCUUUUGAAACUGUAUGGCUGGAGUGCAGGGGAGGUAAGUGGAAUUCCUGGUGGAGCGGUGAAAUGCGUAGAUAUUAGGAGGAACACCAGUGGCGAAGGCGGCUUGCUGGACUGUAACUGACGUUGAGGCUCGAAAGCGUGGGGAGCAAACAGGAUUAGAUACCCGUGUAGUC